AAAGGACUUCUUUGGCUUAUUGCCCAAGUUGGUGUUUACAGCAUCUUUGAGGGUCAAAAUCAGUCUUGUUUAUAACCUCUUCGGUGUCUCAUACAGUAGGCAUUCAUAAUCUACUUAUAAAUUACAAAAGAGUGGUUGGUUACAGCUUUCCCCAAAAUAAUUUUUUUAAGUUGUUUUCACCCUUGUAACAUCUGUUCAACCUGAAGUUCAUCAUUAUAAUGUAUAAAGGCUACUUAAAUCCUUCUUCCUCAAAGUUGAACAUCAGAUAAAAUAUAUAAGCUGAACAUGGAAGCAAAGCUAAU
RNAcentral lists this long non-coding RNA (302 nucleotides) under Bos taurus (domestic cattle). RNAcentral's name for it is "long non-coding RNA NONBTAT017986". The record is from RNAcentral. Lineage: Eukaryota; Metazoa; Chordata; Mammalia; Artiodactyla; Bovidae.